This 626-nucleotide long non-coding RNA is filed under the name Homo sapiens (human). RNAcentral describes it as "HSALNT0108867". Lineage: Eukaryota; Metazoa; Chordata; Mammalia; Primates; Hominidae. The record is from RNAcentral.
UGACAACAAAAAAGGGGGGAAAAAGACUUUUAACAGAAAGAGCUACUGCAACUUAAAUUGUUCUCACAUUUUAAAUGUGUUAACAAUAUCUAUUUUUAUUUGUAAGCCAACUUUGUGUUGCAACUCUGCUGAGUUUCAUCUUUUAAGCCUCUUUUGCCUCUCUGAGCCAGUUUUAUCUUCGUAUUUGAGGCUUUACAUUCAGGUGACUUCUUUCAUUGCAUUUCAAGGGUUCUCUAACCCAAAAAAAAGAUGGAAGCAGCACACGACAAUCCUUUGGGGCCAAUUCAUUGGAACAUGUCACUCUGAGAGGGAACAUUUGUAAUCUCCUACUGCCAUCUUAUGUAAUGUCUUGUCACUACACAAUACAGAAUAUGCAUGAAGGAAAACCAAAAGCACUUUCUGGAGGUUGUAUUUCAAACCCAUCACAUAAAAAAUUAAAUAUCUAUUGUUCCAUUCCCCACUCUAAUUAUACUAUUUAUUUAUAAGAAAUUAUUUCUAAUUUCUUCCUAUUAAUUUUGUAAACUUUCUAUUCUAGUCAUGUUUAUCUUUUAUAUACAGUUUAUUGUAAUUUAAAAUGCUAUAUAGCACCGUAUUAUUUAGAUGCAUGAGUAAUUCAAAAGCUAGAG